RNAcentral lists this ribosomal RNA (502 nucleotides) under uncultured Tuberaceae. RNAcentral describes it as "eukaryotic LSU rRNA". The stretch from base 207 to 360 matches the Rfam family "5.8S ribosomal RNA". The record is from RNAcentral. Lineage: Eukaryota; Fungi; Ascomycota; Pezizomycetes; Pezizales; Tuberaceae.
UAUGGGAUGCUUAAUAUGAGCUCUCAAAAUAAACACAUUCAUGUGUAUACUUCCAUGUUGCUUUCCCAGGCCAGUGGCCACUGCCACCAGCCAGUCCAUUAUUCUGUCUUCAGGUUGAGGUGCUUGGGAAAGGGUCAAUUAUCAAACUUCUUUAUAUUAACCUAUUGUCUGAUGAGGCUAUAUGCCGUAAUAUGUAAAUAUGUUAAAACUUUCAACAACGGAUCUCUUGGCUCUCGCAUCGAUGAAGAACGCAGCGAAAUGCGAUAAGUAAUGUGAAUUGCAGAAUUCAGUGAAUCAUCGAAUCUUUGAACGCACAUUGCGCCUUUUGGUAUUCCUUAGGGCAUGCCUGUUCGAGCGUCAUAAACAAUCUGAUCACCAUAUGUGUGGUAUUGGCAGAAGUGGAUAUAGUCAAGAGUAUUGGACUCCACUCUGCUGGAAUGAAUAGGCUGGAAAAGUAGAUCAUAGCAAUAGACUUUCAGAGUAUCUUAGAAUGCUAAAUUAG